Coregonus clupeaformis (lake whitefish) is the source of this 1751-nucleotide long non-coding RNA. RefSeq lists it as uncharacterized. The transcript is spliced from 2 exons. The record is from RefSeq and is a predicted model, not a curated record. NCBI's taxonomy places the organism in Eukaryota, Metazoa, Chordata, Actinopteri, Salmoniformes, Salmonidae.
CGAAGAAGAGAAAGCCGUAGUUGAAAUCCAGUAGAAUACCAUAUUACUGAUGUGCGGUGAAAGAGCAAGCAGAGAGCUCAAACAUACACACUCACACACACAGCGUAGCAUAGCCUACCGGAGUUUGAGGCUGCCUCUCGUAUCGCCGUGUUUUUUCUGCUCUCUCAAUGCAAGCGAUCGAUGUCCAUAUCAUUGUCGUGUCCCAAUCCCAGCCAAGAUUCUACCUCAAACCAGCCACCAUGCAAAAAAAAACACCACAGCUCCUCUCCUCACCUCUCCUCUCUUCCCCAAGUUACACUAAACAAUCACCAUGCAUCGACUACUCACCACCGAAGCCUGGGGUAAAACAUCAUCACUGGCAAUGGAAGGACAAUUCAUUAUGUGGAGAAAAAAUAUGACCCCACCAAAGCGAAUGAAGGGGAGAAAUGGGAUCUAACGUUUCGGCAAGAGGACUGUAGUAAAGCAACAAGAUAACCUAUAUUCAAGAGUUUGGGCCUCUUAUGCUCUUUUUCCCAAUGCCUGUUUUAAUAUUUUGUCAAAGAUAAAUAAGAACCGUGAGUUUUUGGCUCCAGGGGACCUGCGUGCUAUCAGUAGCCAAACAACUGGGCGACACAGCCACCCACGCCUCGGUGCAUGGCUACUCCUGUAGACGAAGCAGUCGCUAUCGAGAGAGACCUUACACGGUGUUAAUCGUGAAAGGAAUCAGGAGAUCGGUUCUCCUUCAUGAAAAAAAUCGAAGGGGGUGAAUUGACUGAGCCGGGACUUGGGAUCGUACGAUAAGGCUGUUGGCAGUCAACUACUUCCUACUGCAGUAGCCUACAACUGAAUAGGACCCACCCUAACCCAGUCCGAACCAAGCCUGACACAGGGCUGCUGGAACCCGGACUACUGGGGGCUGUGACCCGGGUUAAAGGUGUUCAACCGAGGCGUCACUUUUUACCCUGAUCCGAGGCUGUGGCUCUGGCGUCCUUCAGGGAUUCCACGCUCUUCUCCCCUGAGAGGCCACUCACUCAGCGGCAGGAGAAGCCAGUCAAGCCGCUGCCUGGUUGACCAAACAGCACGGAGCAAGAGGCAAAGGACGGAGCAUUUCUGGUCUCAGAGAAUCUUUAGGCUAUAGUAGCCGAUAAUGCAAAACCUGGUGCAAUGGACUAAAGGUUGUUCUGAAUCUUUACCGUUGACGAUUUUAUUUCGCAUGGAUGGAGGACUUUGUAACUAUUGAUUGAUUUUGUUUUUCAAGUGGACGCUUUUGCAUGGGGGGUGGGGGGUGGGGGAUUUGGAGUAGACGCUAGCUGGGGCCAGACUGAACUAUUCCACUUUUAGUAGCCUUAGCUCUUAGGCGACUGCGAGGGACUUGUCCAUAUUGCAGACUUUCGCUUGUCUUGUCAUUUGUUUUCACGGGGAAAAUGAGAUAGUAAGACGGAUUUAAGGGACUGAUACUGCUUAUCUUAGCCUCAUGCAUUUUUUAAUCCCCCGGUCGCCUCCCUCUCACUCUCCCGGCAGACGAUGCUCAUUCUCCGGGGGCUGCUUGACAAAAGCCUGCCUUAACUAAUAUUUCGCCCCAUUGCCAUAUCUCAGCAUCCCCAAUUAAUAAUAGAUUGUUAUCUGUAAAGUCAGUGUGUGUGUGUGUGUGUGUGUGUGUGUCCUCAGGUUAAAUUAUAAAAGGACCUUAUACCAAUUGAGCUUUUAUCAGAAUGAUCAUUUGCAAGUGUUUAAUUUUCAAACGAAGAAGAAUAAAAAUAUAACUACUUCUG